Rana temporaria (common frog) is the source of this 2144-nucleotide long non-coding RNA. RefSeq lists it as uncharacterized. Lineage: Eukaryota; Metazoa; Chordata; Amphibia; Anura; Ranidae. The transcript is spliced from 2 exons. The record is from RefSeq and is a predicted model, not a curated record.
CUUGUAACCGUCAGUUUGGAUAUCCUGUGUAGGCCUUGUGACAUCUAUGUUUAGAAUUGCCAGUUUGUGGCUGUUGACACAUAUCACCAGUUUCAAUCACGAGAUGAGUUGUAACUUAAGCAAUAGGUAACGGUAACUUUUUGGUCACUGCAGCAACGCCCGAAAGGGAGGGUCCGCCCAGUAACAGUAUACUGACCAAUUGUAAUGAGACAUGUAUAUGUAUUUCCUUUGUUGUGAACACCCUAUAAAAGAGAAAACUUACGUCAUAAAGAGCAAAAUGGUUUAACCUCAUAUCGUGUCAGUCUUGUUACUGCAGAAGGGCUAAAUUCAUUCUCACCGGUACCGAAGGGGCCAUCGUAACUAAGGAAAACACCCACCCUUUUAUACCAGGAGAUGUAGUGGUAGUAAAACACCUGAUGAAGGAUAAGAAGGCCAAGGAUUUCGCCUAUGGUCCAGAAACAAGUAUUGUGGCCGUGACCCGUACCGCCAUGUUGACUGAAGGAAGCCCAACUUGGAUCCAUGCCACCAGAGUGAAAUUGGUCCCCAGAGCAAGACUGAAAGCAGAACUAGUCGAUGCAGAGGACCAAAACGAAGGGGAAAGCCCAAUCCUCCAACAAGGGGUACUAAUGGGAGCAAAUGACUCCGACCUCCCACAAAUUGGAUCUGAGGUAAUAACGAGGGCUGAUAGCCUAGGCCUCCGACAAUAUGACAUCACUUAUUUCACCACAGACUUCUGGGAAAACCUUGUGCCUCCUAUUUUGGACUGUCCUAAUCGUAUUCCUGCCAGUUUGGCUGAUAACUAACUGUAUCCAUCACCCUGAAGAUUUGGGACAUAUAAAGAGCAUUUGUGGAAAUUCUAACACUCCACAACAGGACAAUGCCAAUAACACACAUGAUAGACACAAGAGAAAUGAGAACUCUGAGGGUUUUACAGACAAAAUGCUAUUAUUAAAGUUUAAAUAUGCCUAUGCCCAGAAAUCUGGAUAUGAAAAAUGUUGGAUAUGUAGUAAGCUCCAUCCUAGCACUACUAGGAUCCCUAUAAUGGGUAUGGUUCCUUCAUGGAGUGGGUGGGGAAUAGACUUAAUGAAAAGGUUGAAUAAAUAUGUGGGAAUUAUUGAUGAAAUAAUGGAGAAGAACUCCGAUGAUAUUACUAAACUAAACAUAGAAACUAGAGCAAUUAGGAAGCAAUUAGAAUUACAUGAGUUAGCCAUAGAAAGCAUGAGUGCCACCUUAACUGGAUUAUUGUGAAAAUACAAUUAGUACUACAAUGACAAUUAGAAUUGAGGAAGAUCACCCCAGGGAAGAGAUAGAGUGUUAUCAGAUUGUCAGAUUAUCAGAUUCGUAUGAUGCCAAGACGGGUGAUAUGAAUGAGUAAAAGAUAUGUAUCCACAUACACCUUAAGAAGAUCUUUGCUCCACAUAGAUGUGAAGUAGUACUGUGGACCCUUUGGUGUCAUACUAGGUAGAGAAUCUUUUUGCAAACUUAAGUUUUUGAGCAGGAAUGCUGACAUGGUUAAAAAGUGCUGCCCUGGCCAUCUUUAUGAUUAUUAUUUUUGUUUUACUCGUAUAUGCUUGUUAUAGGCUCAUAAUGUGCAUAGUUGUUAAAAUGUCCCGAACACCCGACCCAGCAGCUGCAAAUAGAAUCUAUCUGAAUAUGUAUCAUGAUAAAAGAAGGGUGGAGAAAGAGAACCACAUCAUUUAAAAAUUAUUUGUGUUCUAAGAGGGGAUUGAAGAGAUGUUAAAGGGUUAACACAUUGAUUGAGAUGGUACUGUGUAAGUCUUGUAACCGUCAGUUUGGAUAUCCUGUGUAGGCCUUGUGACAUCUAUGUUUAGAAUUGCCAGUUUGUGGCUGUUGACACAUAUCACCAGUUUCAAUCACGAGAUGAGUUGUAACUUAAGCAAUAGGUAACGGUAACUUUUUGGUCACUGCAGCAACGCCCGAAAGGGAGGGUCCCCCCAGUAACAGUAUACUGACCAAUUGUAAUGAGACAUGUAUAUGUAUUUCCUUUGUUGUGAACACCCUAUAAAAGAGAAAACUUACGUCAUAAAGAGCAGAAUGGUUUAACCUCAUAUCGUGUCAGUCUUGUUACUGCAGAAGGGCUAAAUUCAUUCUCACCGGUACCGAAGGGGCCAUCGUAACUAAGG